This 395-nucleotide unclassified non-coding RNA is filed under the name Hevea brasiliensis (rubber tree). The record is from RNAcentral. Lineage: Eukaryota; Viridiplantae; Streptophyta; Magnoliopsida; Malpighiales; Euphorbiaceae.
GUGGCACUUCAGGUCUCCCAGAAGUGGAGGCCCCUGCUGCAGAUAUGUCUUGAGAAGUGCUGCCAUGCCCCUGCCCCUGCUCUCUUGCUUUGUCAGCAAUCUCGGCAGCUUUUGCACUUUCUGGAUUGUAGCCAGGUGGUCGAACAUACAUAAAGCUAACAGCUUUCAUCAUCUCCAUCUUUUCUUUCUCUUUUUUGGAGACGAGAGCAGUCUGACGAAAAAAUUCCUGUUCUUGAGCAUACUCGCGGGCUAUUUCCUCAGCUCGUAGUUCUCUCUGAGCAUGAGUCUGCUCGGCAAUCCAUUUUCUCCUUUGAUUUGGGUAAGAGAGAGGAUGCCAAGGCUUCUGGUUAAGGAAAGAGUGAGACCACGCUGUACCAGCUUUGGUUUUGUAAUCA